Molecule: long non-coding RNA, 232 nt
Filed under: Canis lupus familiaris (dog)
Lineage: Eukaryota; Metazoa; Chordata; Mammalia; Carnivora; Canidae
Description: lncRNA (ENSCAFG00845013872.1)
Source: RNAcentral
AGGGCGACCCAGUUCAAACCAAUGUGAUAUUUGUCGAAUGAUAAUGACUUGGCUGAGGACUUGCGUGGGACCGUCCCAGAUUCAGGAAGCCAUUCAGAAGGCUACAACAGCGGUGUGCUCAAAGAUUCCAGCGGUGGAAAAAAAGUCUGCAAAGAUAUCCUCACCAGAGUUUUGUGGUAGUGUUGCCCAGUUUUUUCCUGAAUAGUGAUCCCUCCAGGGAUAUCUGUGUGAC